UACGUAGGGUGCGAGCGUUGCCCGGAUUUAUUGGGCGUAAAGGGCGCGUAGGCGGCCACGCACGUCCGUUGUGAAAUCGCCCGGCUCAACUGGGCGGGGUCAGCGGAUACGGUGUGGCUCGAGCAAGCUAGGGGGCAAUGGAACUCCCGGUGUAGUGGUGGAAUGCGUAGAUAUCGGGAAGAACACCAGUGGCGAAGGCGGUUGCCUGGAGCUUUGCUGACGCUGAUGCGCGAAAGCGUGGGGAGCGAACAGG
Molecule: ribosomal RNA, 253 nt
Filed under: uncultured bacterium
Lineage: Bacteria
Description: partial 16S ribosomal RNA
Rfam family: Bacterial small subunit ribosomal RNA
Source: RNAcentral